Long non-coding RNA from Syngnathus acus (greater pipefish), 1174 nucleotides. RefSeq lists it as uncharacterized. The transcript is spliced from 2 exons. NCBI's taxonomy places the organism in Eukaryota, Metazoa, Chordata, Actinopteri, Syngnathiformes, Syngnathidae. The record is from RefSeq and is a predicted model, not a curated record.
AUUUGUUUUUGUUGCCACGUCCAUAAUUCGUAUCACAACAUCUUCGAUUUCCGUCUGCGAUGAGCAACUUAAGAAGCUACUGAAGGUGCGUGAUGUUGCCCUCGCAGCAACCAGGACAUGCCACCUUCUCCUUAGACAGGUAGAGCAUGGGCUGGAUGCUACUGCUGAAGUCCAUCAGACCAAAGGCAACGUAAUGGAUGUAACAGCGGAAGACAUCGGGCGAGAAGUAGUCCUGGAAGGGGAACAGCGCCACCGGUGGGAAGUAGUUGAAGACGAUGAUGGCAAGGAUGAUGAGCACCAUCUUGAAGGCUCGCUUCUUCACCGGGUGCAUCUCGUCUCGGCCGGGCCCGGAUUGGCGCAGCACCCAUAGGAUGGCGAUGUUGCAGAACACCAUGAAGGCAAAGGCGGUCAGGAUCAUGGCGGUGAAAACCUUACCAAAUAAAUUUAGAAGACAUUCAUUCAGCAAAUGUAUCCCCUAGGGAUUAAUAAUGGAUCUCAUAUUUGAUAUAUACUACGUAAGACCUUCUCAAAGUUGACGAUGUUGCCCACACACUUGGCGGCGGCGUAGGCCAGCGUGAUGAGCCACACCAGCAUGGCCAGGCCGGCCCGGUGUUGACGGUCUUUGAGUUCAGUGAAGGUGAUGGGGUGCACCACCGCCACGUAGCGGUCCAGGCAGAUGCAGGAGAGGAAGAGCGGCGACGAGUCCUUCAUGCCGUAGAAGAAGCGCAACACGUACCAGGUGCUGCUGGUGGUGAGAAACACAAUAUUGGCCAGCUCCAGCGGUGGGAUGAGACAGAAGAGCACAUCCAGAAUGGCCAAGUGAAGGAUGAAGAUGUCCGACGUGGACGAAUCGCCCUUGUUCUUGUGGAUGAGCCACAGGACCAUGAUGUUGGCCGGGAUGCCCAGGAACAUAUUGACAAACUGCAGGCCAAGAUACCAGAUGAGCACGGCCGGCAUGUCGCGGCAGCCCUCGUACACCGUCUGCUCCCGCGGCGUGGCGUUGACGGGCCGCUGGGAGAUGAACAGCGCCGACGAGUUGAGGAAGAGAAAAUUCAUGGCGGGGAGUAGGACUGAGUGAUUAUGGGGAAAAAAUAAUAAUCACAAUUAUUUUGAUUGAUAUUGAAAUCACCAUUCCUAAACAGGACUAUUCAUUAAUUUCAAGACUUAGCAUUCA